UGGCCUUUUCCCCUUGGGGGAUCUUUCCAUCACACUCGCCCUCUUUGGACUUUGGGAAGUGAAAACCCAGCCCCCACUGGUGCGCAGCCACACUGGAGCCCCGAGGAGUGUUAAAAUUCAGCUGGAGAGGCACGUAGUCUUCCAGAAGCCCAGAUAAAGGAAAAGGAUCUCAGGCAAAAGAGGAAAAAAUAAAAUAAAGAGGCAAGACUUAAAAUGUCCUGUGAAAUGGAGAGCAUUUGGCCCCCGGCACACGUUGUCUGCGGGAGAUGACUCAACUCCUUUCUAAAGCGAGGAACCAAAUUGUGAAGACAUCUGUUCUGUUAUUAAUUUCACAUAAAUCUUAAGCUCCUCAA
This is a long non-coding RNA of Leopardus geoffroyi (Geoffroy's cat), 353 nucleotides long. RefSeq lists it as uncharacterized. The transcript is spliced from 2 exons. NCBI's taxonomy places the organism in Eukaryota, Metazoa, Chordata, Mammalia, Carnivora, Felidae. The record is from RefSeq and is a predicted model, not a curated record.